AGUGAACGCUGGCGGUAGGCCUAACACAUGCAAGUCGAACGGCAGCACAGUAAGAGCUUGCUCUUACGGGUGGCGAGUGGCGGACGGGUGAGGAAUACAUCGGAAUCUACUUUUUCGUGGGGGAUAACGUAGGGAAACUUACGCUAAUACCGCAUACGACCUACGGGUGAAAGCAGGGGAUCUUCGGACCUUGCGCGAUUGAAUGAGCCGAUGUCGGAUUAGCUAGUUGGCGGGGUAAAGGCCCACCAAGGCGACGAUCCGUAGCUGGUCUGAGAGGAUGAGCAGCCACACUGGAACUGAGACACGGUCCGGACUCCUACGGGAGGCAGCAGUGGGGAGUAGUGGACAAUGGGCGCAAGCCUGAUCCAGCCAUACCGAGUGGGUGAAGAAGGCCUUCGGGUUGUAAAGCCCUUUUGUUGGGAAAGAAAAGCAGCAGGUUAAUACCCCGCUGUUCUGACGGUACCCAAAGAAUAAGCACCGGCUAACUUCGUG
This 492-nucleotide ribosomal RNA is filed under the name uncultured bacterium. RNAcentral's name for it is "partial 16S ribosomal RNA". It matches the Rfam family "Bacterial small subunit ribosomal RNA", at positions 29 to 507 of the family's 1533-position model. The record is from RNAcentral.